RNAcentral lists this ribosomal RNA (445 nucleotides) under uncultured bacterium. Its description in RNAcentral is "SSU rRNA". It matches the Rfam family "Bacterial small subunit ribosomal RNA", at positions 26 to 518 of the family's 1533-position model. The record is from RNAcentral.
AGAACGAACGCUGGCGGCAGGCUUAACACAUGCAAGUCGAACGCUCCGCAAGGGGAGUGGCAGACGGGUGAGUAACGCGUGGGAACAUACCCCUCGGUUCGGAAUAACUCAGGGAAACUUGAGCUAAUACCGGAUACGGUCGAGAGGCGAAAGAUUUAUCGCCGAGGGAUUGGCCCGCGUCCGAUUAGCUAGUUGGUGAGGUAAUGGCUCACCAAGGCGACGAUCGGUAGCUGGUCUGAGAGGAUGAUCAGCCACAUUGGGACUGAGACACGGCCCAAACUCCUACGGGAGGCAGCAGUGGGGAAUAUUGGACAAUGGGCGAAAGCCUGAUCCAGCCAUGCCGCGUGAGUGAUGACGGCCUUAGGGUUGUAAAGCUCUUUCGUCAGGGACGAUAAUGACGGUACCUGAAGAACGAAGCCCCGGCUAACUUCGUGCCAGCAGCCGC